GAUGAACGCUGGCGGCGUGCCUAACACAUGCAGGUCAAGCGAUUCUCUUCGGAGAAGAGCGGCGGACGGGUGAGUAACGCGUGGGUAACCUGCCUCAUACACAUGGAUAACAUACCGAAAGGUAUGCUAAUACAAGAUGAUAUAAGAGAUUCGCAUGGAUUCCUUAUCAAAGCUCCGGCGGUAUGAGAUGGACCCGCGUCUGAUUAGCUAGUUGGUAAGGUAACGGCUUACCAAGGCGACGAUCAGUAGCCGACCUGAGAGGGUGAUCGGCCACAUUGGAACUGAGACACGGUCCAAACUCCUACGGGAGGCAGCAGUGGGGAAUAUUGCACAAUGGGCGAAAGCCUGAUGCAGCAACGCCGCGUGAGCGAUGAAGGCCUUCGGGUCGUAAAGCUCUGUCCUCAAGGAAGAUAAUGACGGUACUUGAGGAGGAAGCCCCGGCUAACUACGUGCCAGCCGCCGCUGUAA
Molecule: ribosomal RNA, 468 nt
Filed under: uncultured bacterium
Lineage: Bacteria
Description: partial 16S ribosomal RNA
Rfam family: Bacterial small subunit ribosomal RNA
Source: RNAcentral